AUGGAGGGCGGCGCCGACGCCUUCGGGUCCUCGACCGCGCCGCUGGCCUGGCACGACUUCCUCGAGCGCAUGCGCCAGCCUUCCGCCGCCGACUUUAUCAUGACGUUCUCAAACAGAGAACCUGAUCCAGAGAGAGAUAGUGCAGCUGUUCAAGAGUUCCUUGAAAAUAUGGAAGGUGCUUUCAGAGCUCACACUCCUUGGGCUGGCAGUUCUGAAGAAGAACUAGAGAGUGCCGGUGAGGGCCUCGAGAAGUAUGUUAUGACAAAGCUGUAUAAUCGGGUAUUUGCUUCAGUCCCGGAAGAUGUGAAGAGCGACGAAGAGCUUUUUGAGAAGAUUUCUCUACUACAGCAGUUUAUACAUCCUGAAAACUUGGAUAUAAAACCAGAAUAUCAGAAUGAAACAUCAUGGCUGCUUGCGCAAAAGGAGCUACAGAAGAUAAACAUGUAUAAGGCUCCAAGGGAUAAGCUUGCUUGCAUCCUGAACUGUUGUAAAGUCAUCAAUAACUUACUUAUGAAUGCUUCUCAUAUGUCACAUGAUAACCCCCCUGGAGCUGACGAAUUUCUUCCAGUCCUCAUCUAUGUCACCAUAAAGGCUAAUCCUCCGCAGUUACACUCAAAUCUUUUAUACAUACAAAGAUACAGGUGCCAAUCACGACUGGUGUCAGAGGCUCAAUAUUUUUUUACAAACCUCCUAUCUGCCGAGUCUUUCAUUUGGAACAUUGAGGCGGAAUCAUUAUCCAUGGAUGAACGAGAUUUCCAAAAGAAGAUGGAUUUGGCAAGGGAACGCUUGUUAGGAUUAUCAGUUAGCUCAGAGAACCAGGAGAAUCAGACCAAUCUUGAUGUGGGGGAGCAUAGAUCACAAGCACUAAAAGCUAGUGGAAAUUCCGAUGUCAACCUACACUUGAAAGAUCAUGUCCAAGGUCCAGUUCAGGACAUGAAAAGGGAAAGUGAUGUGAGCAGUAAAUCAGUUGAGCGGGUGCAAUCUAUCUCUGAUUUAGAGAAGAAGGGAGCUACAGAGCUUGUCAAGGAUGACGACUUGAGCAAAAUAUUCCAGGAAUACCCAUUUCUAUUUGCCCGUGCUGGUGAUCUGACAGUUGCUGAUGUAGAUAACCUUUUAAACUCUUACAAGCAACUAGUACUUAAGUACGUCGCACUCUCUAAGGGCAUGGGUGUCGCCCCUGAAACGCCUCUUGUUCAGAGCAAGCAAACCGCACCAGAUCUUCAGAUAUCCGAGGAGCCUGAGAAUGUGAAGAAUGUUGUAAAUAGUUGCGACAGCACUGAAGAAAGCAGCAAGACUCAUGAGGACAUUAAAAAUGAAAUUCCUGACUCAGAAGUCAGGAACAUUAGUACGCAACAAGUUGCUGUUGAUCCAAGUGGUGAUCAGAAGACACUAAAAGAUGAAUCAUCAGAUCAGCCAGAGCAUGCGUGA
RNAcentral lists this ribosomal RNA (1428 nucleotides) under Triticum aestivum (bread wheat). RNAcentral's name for it is "partial small subunit ribosomal RNA". Lineage: Eukaryota; Viridiplantae; Streptophyta; Magnoliopsida; Poales; Poaceae. The record is from RNAcentral.